Molecule: long non-coding RNA, 154 nt
Filed under: Pan troglodytes (chimpanzee)
Lineage: Eukaryota; Metazoa; Chordata; Mammalia; Primates; Hominidae
Description: lincRNA
Source: RNAcentral
AGGCCCUGUGUGAGAAGCCCCCUUCCCAGUGAACUUUCCCUUGUGUGCCCGCGUGGACAGCCAACAGGGGGAGCAGUGCGAGCGUGAAGGCAGACAGUGGCCUGGCCCAGUCUGAUGGGAGAGACCCACCGACCCUGUGGGGCUGGUCCCUACA